ACUCCUACGGGAGGCAGCAGUGGGGAAUUUUGGACAAUGGGCGCAAGCCUGAUCCAGCAAUGCCGCGUGAGUGAAGAAGGCCUUCGGGUUGCAAAGCUCUUUCAGUUGAAAAGAAAAAGUCGUGACUAAUAAUCAUGGCUCAUGACGGUAUCAACAGAAGAAGCACCGGCUAACUACGUGCCAGCAGCCGCGGUAAUACGUAGGGUGCAAGCGUUAAUCGGAAUUACUGGGCGUAAAGGGUGCGCAGGCGGUUCUGUAAGUCAGAUGUGAAAUCCCCGGGCUUAACCAGGGAACUGCGUUUGAAACUGCAGAGCUAGAGUGCGGCAGAGGGAGGUGGAAUUCCAUGUGUAGCAGUGAAAUGCGGAGAGAUAUGGAAGAACAUCGAUGGCGAAGGCAACCUCCUGGGCUAGCACUGACGCUCAUGCACGAAAGCGUGGGGAGCAAAUAGGAUUAGAUACCCUGGUAGUCCACGCCCUAAACUAUGUCAACUAGUUGUCGGGUCUUAAUAGACUUGGUAACGUAGCUAACGCGUGAAGUUGACCGCCCGGGGAGUACGGUCGCAAGAUUAAAACUCAAAGGAAUUGACGGGGACCCUCACAAGCGGUGGAUUAUGUGGAUUAAUUCGAUGCAACGCGAAAAACCUUGCCUACCCUUGACAUGUCAGAAAAUUUUCAGAGAUGAAUUUGUGCCCGAAAGGGAAUCUGAACACAGGUGCUGCAUGGCUGUCGUCAGCUCGUGUCGUGAGAUGUUGGGUUAAGUCCCGCAACGAGCGCAACCCUUGUCAUUAAUUGCCAUCAUUAAGUUGGGCACUUUAAUGAGUCUGCCGGUGAUAAACCGGAGGUAGGUGGGGAUGACGUCAAGUCCUCAUGGCCCUUAUGGGUAGGGCUUCACACGUAAUACAAUGGCG
This 907-nucleotide ribosomal RNA is filed under the name uncultured bacterium. Its description in RNAcentral is "bacterial SSU rRNA". It matches the Rfam family "Bacterial small subunit ribosomal RNA", at positions 335 to 1235 of the family's 1533-position model. The record is from RNAcentral.